GGGUCUGUAGCUCAGUUGGUAAGAGCAUGCGGCUCAUAACCGCACGGUCGGGGGUUCGAGUCCCUCCAGACCCACCA
This 77-nucleotide transfer RNA is filed under the name Promethearchaeota archaeon. RNAcentral describes it as "Candidatus Lokiarchaeota archaeon (microbial mat metagenome) tRNA-Ile". It matches the Rfam family "tRNA". Rfam says of the family: Transfer RNA (tRNA) molecules are approximately 80 nucleotides in length. Their secondary structure includes four short double-helical elements and three loops (D, anti-codon, and T loops). The record is from RNAcentral. Lineage: Archaea; Promethearchaeati; Promethearchaeota.